AUACGGAGGGUGCGAGCGUUAAUCGGAAUUACUGGGCGUAAAGCGCGCGUAGGCGGUUUGGUCAGUCGGAUGUGAAAGCCCUAGGCUCAACCUGGGAAUGGCAUUCGAUACUGCCUGACUAGAGUAUGGUAGAGGGAAGUGGAAUUUCCGGUGUAGCGGUGAAAUGCGUAGAUAUCGGAAGGAACACCAGUGGCGAAGGCGACUUCCUGGGCCAAUACUGACGCUAAGGUGCGAAAGCGUGGGGAGCAAACAGGAUUAGAAACCCCGGUAGUCC
Molecule: ribosomal RNA, 274 nt
Filed under: uncultured bacterium
Lineage: Bacteria
Description: partial 16S ribosomal RNA
Rfam family: Bacterial small subunit ribosomal RNA
Source: RNAcentral